Dipodomys ordii (Ord's kangaroo rat) is the source of this 65-nucleotide non-coding RNA. The record is from Rfam. NCBI's taxonomy places the organism in Eukaryota, Metazoa, Chordata, Mammalia, Rodentia, Heteromyidae.
GGUGGCUCAAUGGUAGAGUGCUUGCCUUGCAUGCAUGAAGCCCUGGGUUCGAUUCCUCAGCACCA